ACCUAAACUAAGCCCAGGUGCCACAGAGGUGAUGGGCCAUGUGCUUACCCAAGAUAGGAUCUUCUUCUCUUGCACACUGUGCUGACAUGAUUCUCAUGACUCUUGCUUGGAGAGAUCUGGAUGAGGUGUCAGGGACCUCUGACUUUGUCAGCCUCUGCUAG
RNAcentral lists this ribozyme (161 nucleotides) under Prolemur simus (greater bamboo lemur). RNAcentral describes it as "Hovlinc ribozyme (hominin vlincRNA-located)". It matches the Rfam family "Hovlinc ribozyme (hominin vlincRNA-located)". Rfam says of the family: Hovlinc is a recently evolved class of self-cleaving ribozyme found in a very long non coding RNA (vlincRNA) in hominins, including humans (genus Homo), and chimpanzees and bonobos (genus Pan), but missing in gorillas (genus Gorilla). Lineage: Eukaryota; Metazoa; Chordata; Mammalia; Primates; Lemuridae. The record is from Rfam by way of RNAcentral.